UAAUACGAAAGGUGCAAGCGUUGUUCGGAUUUACUGGGCGUAAAGAGAUCGUAGGUGGUUUAUUAAGUCGGAUGUGAAAUCCCGGGGCUCAACCCCGGAACUGCAUUCGAUACUGAUAGGCUAGAGUUCGGGAGGGGUAAGCGGAAUUCCGUGUGUAGCAGUGAAAUGCGUAGAUAUACGGAGGGACACCUGAGGCGAAGGCGGCUUACUGGACCGAUACUGACACUGAGGAUCGAAAGCGUGGGUAGCAAACAGGAUUAGAUACCCUGGUAGUCCACGCCCUAAACGAUGUCAACUAGCCGUUGCGGGUAUCGACCCCUGCAGUGGCGAAGCUAACGCGAUAAGUUGACCGCCUGGGGAGUACGGUCGCAAGAUUA
Molecule: ribosomal RNA, 377 nt
Filed under: uncultured Zetaproteobacteria bacterium
Lineage: Bacteria; Pseudomonadati; Pseudomonadota; Candidatius Mariprofundia
Description: bacterial SSU rRNA
Rfam family: Bacterial small subunit ribosomal RNA
Source: RNAcentral